GACGAACGCUGGCGGCGUGCUUAACACAUGCAAGUCGAACGGUAAGGCUCCAGCUUGCUGGGGUACACGAGUGGCGAACGGGUGAGUAACACGUGGGUGACCUGCCCUGCACUUCGGGAUAAGCCUGGGAAACUGGGUCUAAUACCGGAUAGGACCAUGGUGUGGAUACUGUGGUGGAAAGUUUUUUCGGUGUGGGAUGGGCCCGCGGCCUAUCAGCUUGUUGGUGGGGUAAUGGCCUACCAAGGCGGCGACGGGUAGCCGGCCUGGGAGGGUGGACGGCCCCAUUAGGACUGGGACACGGCCCAGACUCGUACGGGAGGCAGCGGUGGAGAAUAUUGCACAAUGGGCGGAAGCCUGAUGCAGCGACGCCGCGUGGGGGAUGACGGGCUUCGGGUUGUAAACUACUGUCACCAUAGACGAAGGGUUUCUGACGGUAGAUGGAGAAGAAGCACCGGCUAACUACGUG
Molecule: ribosomal RNA, 466 nt
Filed under: uncultured bacterium
Lineage: Bacteria
Description: partial 16S ribosomal RNA
Rfam family: Bacterial small subunit ribosomal RNA
Source: RNAcentral